GAGUUUGAUCCUGGCUCAGAUUGAACGCUGGCGGCAGGCCUAACACAUGCAAGUCGAACGGUAACAUUUCUAGCUUGCUAGAAGAUGACGAGUGGCGGACGGGUGAGUAAUACUUAGGAAUAUGCCUUUGUGUGGGGGAUAACCAUUGGAAACGAUGGCUAAUACCGCAUAACGUCUUCGGACCAAAGGGGGCCUUGGCUCCCGCGCAAAGAGUAGCCUAAGCGAGAUUAGCUUGUUGGUGAGGUAAAGGCUCACCAAGGCGACGAUCUCUAGCUGUUCUGAGAGGAAGAUCAGCCACACUGGAACUGAGACACGGUCCAGACUCCUACGGGAGGCAGCAGUGGGGAAUAUUGCACAAUGGGGGAAACCCUGAUGCAGCCAUGCCGCGUGUGUGAAGAAGGCCUUCGGGUUGUAAAGCACUUUCAGUUGUGAGGAAAGGUUAACGGUUAAUACCCGUUAGCUGUGACGUUAGCAACAGAAGAAGGACCGGCUAACUCCGUGCCAGCAGCCGCGGUAAUACGGAGGGUCCGAGCGUUAAUCGGAAUUACUGGGCGUAAAGCGCACGCAGGCGGUUUGUUAAGCUAGAUGUGAAAGCCCUGGGCUCAACCUGGGAAUUGCAUUUAGAACUGGCAGGCUAGAGUUUUGGAGAGGGGAGUGGAAUUCCAGGUGUAGCGGUGAAAUGCGUAGAUAUCUGGAGGAACAUCAGUGGCGAAGGCGACUCCCUGGUCAGUAACUGACGCUCAUGUGCGAAAGUGUGGGUAGCGAACAGGAUUAGAUACCCUGGUAG
Molecule: ribosomal RNA, 787 nt
Filed under: uncultured bacterium
Lineage: Bacteria
Description: bacterial SSU rRNA
Rfam family: Bacterial small subunit ribosomal RNA
Source: RNAcentral